Molecule: non-coding RNA, 462 nt
Organism: Phascolarctos cinereus (koala)
Lineage: Eukaryota; Metazoa; Chordata; Mammalia; Diprotodontia; Phascolarctidae
Source: RefSeq, a predicted model, not a curated record
ACCAGAAAAGAGCUGCUAUCAAUAUUUUUGUACAUGUGGGUCCGCUCCUGGGGUAGAAGUAUCACUGUCCCAAGCUUCAUGUUUUUUGUGCUGCUGUUUUCAGAGCUAGUUCUGGACGUCUGGACAUUUUCAGUUUUUCCAAGAACUCUGACUGGCCUUCUACGAAUGCUCCUCCUCACCCUGAGACUUCAACCAGAACUGCAUGGGACAAUGCAACAGAGUCCUGCCCCCAGUGCAAGCGAAGGGCGGCCUGUAACCUCCUUCUGACCAGUUGUUCAAUGCCUUACCACUAUCACCAAUUCAGUCACCCCCAAGGCCUGCUGCUGGCUUGUCUGUGCAUGACCCAGUGAGACAGACCUUUCCUGAAGAUCUUCUAAGCUAUCUUGAGCUAAAAAAUUGUUUCACCCUGUCUUUUUGUGGGUUCUGCCACUCCAGAAUUCAUUUUGAGGAACUAUUUUAACA